RNAcentral lists this ribosomal RNA (458 nucleotides) under uncultured bacterium. RNAcentral describes it as "bacterial SSU rRNA". It matches the Rfam family "Bacterial small subunit ribosomal RNA", at positions 346 to 796 of the family's 1533-position model. The record is from RNAcentral.
AGGCAGCAGUUGGGAAUCUUCCGCAAUGGACGAAAGUCUGACGGAGCAACGCCGCGUGAGCGAAGAAGGCCUUCGGGUCGUAAAGCUCUGUUGUUAGGGAAGAACAAGUAACGCAGUAACUGGCGUUACCUUGACGGUACCUAACGAGAAAGCCACGGCUAACUACGUGCCAGCAGCCGCGGUAAUACGUAGGUGGCAAGCGUUGUCCGGAAUUAUUGGGCGUAAAGCGCGCGCAGGCGGUUCCUUAAGUCUGAUGUGAAAGCCCACGGCUCAACCGUGGAGGGUCAUUGGAAACUGGGGGACUUGAGUGCAGAAGAGGAGAGCGGAAUUCCACGUGUAGCGGUGAAAUGCGUAGAGAUGUGGAGGAACACCAGUGGCGAAGGCGGCUCUCUGGUCUGUAACUGACGCUGAGGCGCGAAAGCGUGGGGAGCAAACAGGAUUAGAUACCCCAGUAGUCC